UCGGUCUGGCGGCGAGUGGCGAACGGGUGAGUAAUGUAUCGGAACGUGCCUAGUAGCGGGGGAUAACUACUCGAAAGAGUAGCUAAUACCGCAUACGCCCUACGGGGGAAAGGGGGGGAUCGCAAGACCUCUCACUAUUAGAGCGGCCGAUAUCGGAUUAGCUAGUUGGUGAGGUAAAGGCUCACCAAGGCGACGAUCCGUAGCUGGUUUGAGAGGACGACCAGCCACACUGGGACUGAGACACGGCCCAGACUCCUACGGGAGGCAGCAGUGGGGAAUUUUGGACAAUGGGGGAAACCCUGAUCCAGCCAUUCCGCGUGUGCGAUGAAGGCCUUCGGGUUGUAAAGCACUUUUGGCAGGAAAGAAAUCGCACCAAUUAAUACUUGGUGUGGAUGACGGUACCUGCAGAAUAAGCACCGGCUAACUACGUGCCAGCAGCCGCGGUAAUACGUAGGGUGCAAGCGUUAAUCGGAAUUACUGGGCGUAAAGCGUGCGCAGGCGGUUCGGAAAGAGAGGUGUGAAAUCCCAGGGCUCAACCUUGGAACUGCACUUUUAACUACCGAGCUAGAGUAUGUCAGAGGGGGGCGGAAUUCCGCGUGUAGCAGUGAAAUGCGUAGAUAUGCGGAGGAACGCCGAUGGCGAAGGCAGCCCCCUGGGAUAAUACUGACGCUCAUGCACGAAAGCGUGGGGAGCAAACAGG
This 700-nucleotide ribosomal RNA is filed under the name uncultured beta proteobacterium. RNAcentral's name for it is "bacterial SSU rRNA". It matches the Rfam family "Bacterial small subunit ribosomal RNA", at positions 80 to 776 of the family's 1533-position model. Lineage: Bacteria; Pseudomonadati; Pseudomonadota; Betaproteobacteria. The record is from RNAcentral.